UUCUGGUUGAUCCCGCCGGACCUGACUGCUAUCGGAUUGAUACUAAGCCAUGCGAGUCUUUGCAGUAAUACAAGGCAGACGGCUCAGUAACACGUAGUCAACCUACCCUAUGGACGAGAAUAAUCUCGGGAAACUGAGCAUAAUUCUUGAUAGAUCAUAAUGCCUGGAAUGGUUUAUGGUUAAAAUGAUUCGUCGCCAUAGGAUGGGACUGCGGCCUAUCAGCUUGUUGGUGAGGUAAUGGCCCACCAAGGCGAUUACAGGUACGGGCUCUGAGAGGAGAAGCCCGGAGAUGGGUACUGAGACACGGACCCAGGCCCUAUGGGGCGCAGCAGGCGGGAAAACUUUGCAAUGUGCGAAAGCACGACAAGGUUAAUCCGAGUGAUUUCUGCUAAAGAAAUCUUUUGCCAGUCGUAAAACCGCUGGUGAAUAAGGGGUGGGCAAGUUCUGGUGCCAGCAGCCGCGGUAAU
Molecule: ribosomal RNA, 467 nt
Filed under: uncultured archaeon
Lineage: Archaea
Description: bacterial SSU rRNA
Rfam family: Archaeal small subunit ribosomal RNA
Source: RNAcentral